RNAcentral lists this ribosomal RNA (253 nucleotides) under uncultured bacterium. RNAcentral describes it as "partial 16S ribosomal RNA". It matches the Rfam family "Bacterial small subunit ribosomal RNA", at positions 524 to 776 of the family's 1533-position model. The record is from RNAcentral.
UACGUAGGGGGCGAGCGUUGUCCGGAAUCAUUGGGCGUAAAGCGCGUGUAGGCGGCCCGGUAAGUCCGCUGUGAAAGUCCAGGGCUCAACCCUGGGAUGCCGGUGGAUACUGUCGGGCUCGAGUCCGGAAGAGGCGAGUGGAAUUCCUGGUGUAGCGGUGAAAUGCGCAGAUAUCAGGAGGAACACCAAUGGCGAAGGCAGCUCGCUGGGACGUGACUGACGCUGAGGAGCGAAAGCGUGGGUAGCAAACAGG